AUUGAACGCUGGCGGCAGGCCUAACACAUGCAAGUCGAGCGGAUGAGAGGAGCUUGCUUCUCGAUUCAGCGGCGGACGGGUGAGUAAUGCCUAGGAAUCUGCCUGGUAGUGGGGGACAACGUUUCGAAAGGAACGCUAAUACCGCAUACGUCCUACGGGAGAAAGCAGGGGACCUUCGGGCCUUGCGCUAUCAGAUGAGCCUAGGUCGGAUUAGCUAGUUGGUGAGGUAAUGGCUCACCAAGGCGACGAUCCGUAACUGGUCUGAGAGGAUGGUCAGUCACACUGGAACUGAGACACGGUCCAGACUCCUACGGGAGGCAGCAGUGGGGAAUAUUGGACAAUGGGCGAAAGCCUGAUCCAGCCAUGCCGCGUGUGUGAAGAAGGUCUUCGGAUUGUAAAGCACUUUAAGUUGGGAGGAAGGGUUGUAGAUUAAUACUCUGCAAUUUUGACGUUACCGACAGAAUAAGCACCGGCUAACUCUGUGCCAGCAGCCGCCGUAA
This 500-nucleotide ribosomal RNA is filed under the name uncultured bacterium. RNAcentral's name for it is "partial 16S ribosomal RNA". It matches the Rfam family "Bacterial small subunit ribosomal RNA", at positions 30 to 523 of the family's 1533-position model. The record is from RNAcentral.